CCCAGCUGUAGGCAACUGCCUAGGCUUCCUUGUACCUCGGCGAGUUUACACUGCUGGGAGAAAAGCAACCAAUAUCUGGCUGGCAUUCUGGGCUUGGUUAAUGCCUAAUUUAUGUUAAUCAUGCCAGUAUGCCAGCUUACUUGCUUAUUAUUCUCUUUUAAAUGUAAGCGGGUUAGGUGGGGAACUCCAGAGUAGAACACC
Molecule: small nucleolar RNA, 201 nt
Filed under: Ochotona princeps (American pika)
Lineage: Eukaryota; Metazoa; Chordata; Mammalia; Lagomorpha; Ochotonidae
Description: Small nucleolar RNA SNORA74 (ENSOPRG00000023565.1)
Source: RNAcentral